UCGCUGUAAACUAUGCAUGCAAAUUGUUUACAAACAUUAAAAUACGUGUCGUGUAUGACGCCUACAUGCAGUGUAUAUGAUACAAACAACUGAACUUCUGAAGACAUGACAGUGCUGAUCAAGUGACAGAGGUGAAAAUUAUCCAAGGCCUAAUGAGAAGGGAGUAUCUCAGAUCAGAUGAGGGCAUUGUCAAACUUCUUGUUACGCAGCUAAGUCUCAAUACUUCAGAUUCAACUGUCUUUAAC
Strongylocentrotus purpuratus (purple sea urchin) is the source of this 245-nucleotide long non-coding RNA. RefSeq lists it as uncharacterized. Lineage: Eukaryota; Metazoa; Echinodermata; Echinoidea; Camarodonta; Strongylocentrotidae. The record is from RefSeq and is a predicted model, not a curated record. The transcript has 2 exons.